AGAGUUUGAUCAUGGCUCAGAGUGAACGCUGGCGGCAGGCCUAAUACAUGCAAGUCGAACGGCAGCACAGCAGAGCUUGCUCUGUGGGUGGCGAGUGGCGGACGGGUGAGGAAUACGUGGGAAUCUGCCCAGUCGUGGGGGAUAACGUAGGGAAACUUACGCUAAUACCGCAUGCGCCCUUCGGGGGAAAGCCGGGGGACCUUUCGGGGCCUGGCGCGAUUGGAUGAGCCCACGUCGGAUUAGCUAGUUGGCGGGGUAAAGGCCCACCAAGGCGACGAUCCGUAGCUGGUCUGAGAGGAUGAUCAGCCACACUGGAACUGAGACACGGUCCAGACUCCUACGGGAGGCAGCAGUAGGGAAUAUUGGACAAUGGGCGCAAGCCUGAUCCAGCCAUGCCGCGUGAGUGAAGAAGGCCCUCGGGUUGUAAAGCUCUUUUGUCCGGAAAGAAAAGCGCCGGGUUAAUACCCUGGUGUCCUGACGGUACCGGAAGAAUAAGCACCGGCUAACUUCGUG
Molecule: ribosomal RNA, 513 nt
Filed under: uncultured bacterium
Lineage: Bacteria
Description: bacterial SSU rRNA
Rfam family: Bacterial small subunit ribosomal RNA
Source: RNAcentral